GAUGAACGCUAGCGGCAGGCCUAAUACAUGCAAGUCGAGGGGCAGCGGGAGUAGCAAUACUUGCCGGCGACCGGCGCACGGGUGCGUAACACGUAUACAAUCUGCCUUCUACUGGGGAUAGCCUUGGGAAACUGAGAGUAAUACCCUAUAGUAUUGACUGGAGGCAUCUUUGGUUGAUUAGAGCUGAGGCGAUGAUGGAUUGGGUGUGCGUCUGAUUAGGUAGUUGGUGGGGUAACGGCCUACCAAGCCGACGAUCAGUAGGGGGCGUGAGAGCGUGAUCCCCCACACGGGUACUGAGAUACGGACCCGACUCCUACGGGAGGCAGCAGUAAGGAAUAUUGGUCAAUGCCCGGAAGGGUGAACCAGCCAUGCCGCGUGCAGGAUGACGGCCCUAUGGGUUGUAAACUGCUUUGGAUAGGAAGAAUGGAUUGUAUUGAUAUGAUUUUGACGGUACUAUCAGAAUAAGCACCGGCUAAC
RNAcentral lists this ribosomal RNA (477 nucleotides) under uncultured bacterium. RNAcentral describes it as "bacterial SSU rRNA". It matches the Rfam family "Bacterial small subunit ribosomal RNA", at positions 28 to 501 of the family's 1533-position model. The record is from RNAcentral.